CGGAGAGUGGCGCAGUUGGCUAGCGCGCGGCGUUUGGGACGCCGAGGUCGUGGGUUCAAGUCCCACCUCUCCGACCA
This 77-nucleotide transfer RNA is filed under the name bacterium. Its description in RNAcentral is "tRNA-Pro". It matches the Rfam family "tRNA". From Rfam's summary of the family: Transfer RNA (tRNA) molecules are approximately 80 nucleotides in length. The record is from RNAcentral.